GGAAAAGUUUUCAUGAAAAGGAAAAGAUAAAUGGAUCUUUUCUGCCAUAGGAUAGGAUCGUGGUCGAUUAUGGUAGUUGGUGAGGUAAUGGCUCACCAAGCCGAUAAUCGAUAGGGGCCGUGAGAGCGGGAGCCCCGAGAUGGGUACUGAGACACCGACCCAGACCUUACGAGGUGCAGCAGGCGCGAGACCUCCGCAAUACACGAAAGUGUGACGGGGUUACCCAAAGUGUCCAUUUUUGAACUGUGGUAGGUGAGUAAUGUCCCCUACUAGAAAGGAGAGGGCAAGACUGGUGUCAGCCGCCGCGGUAAUACCAGCUCUCCGAGUGGUAGGGACGAUUAUUGGGCCUAAAGCGUUCGUAGCCGGCUUGGCAAGUCUUUCGUUAAAUCCAGUGACCUAAUCGCUGGGCUGCGGGAGAUACUGUCAGGCUUGGGAGCGGAAGAGGUCGACGGUAUUCUCGGGGUAGGGGUGAAAUCCUGUAAUCCCGGGAGGACCACCAGUGGCGAAGGCUGUCGACUAGAACGCGUCCGACGGUGAGGGACGAAAGCUGGGGGAGCGAACCGGAUUAGAUACCCGGGUAGUCCCAGCUGUAAACUAUGCGGGCUAGGUGUCAGUGUGGCUACGAGCCACUCUGGUGCCGCAGGGAAGCUCAUAAGCCCGCCGCCUGGGAAGUACGG
This 677-nucleotide ribosomal RNA is filed under the name uncultured archaeon. Its description in RNAcentral is "bacterial SSU rRNA". It matches the Rfam family "Archaeal small subunit ribosomal RNA", at positions 154 to 840 of the family's 1478-position model. The record is from RNAcentral.